This 439-nucleotide ribosomal RNA is filed under the name uncultured bacterium. Its description in RNAcentral is "partial 16S ribosomal RNA". It matches the Rfam family "Bacterial small subunit ribosomal RNA", at positions 339 to 795 of the family's 1533-position model. The record is from RNAcentral.
CUACGGGUUGCAGCAGUGAGGAAUAUUGCGCAAUGAGCGAAAGCUAGACGCAGCAACGCCGCGUGAGCGAAGAAGGCCUUCGGGUUGUAAAGCUCUUUUCUGUGUGAAGAGAAGGACGGUAGCACAGGAAUAAGUGUCGGCUAACUACGUGCCAGCAGCCGCGGUAAAACGUAGGACGCAAGCGUUAUCCGGAUUUACUGGGCGUAAAGCGCGUGCAGGCGGUCAGUUAAGUUAUGCGUGAAAGCUCCCGGCUCAACCGGGAGAGGUCGUAUAAAACUGAUUGACUUGAAGGCAGCAGAGGCGUGUGGAAUUCCAGGUGUAGUGGCGAAAUGCGUAGAUAUCUGGAGGAACACCAGUGGCGAAGGCGACACGCUGGGCUGUACUUGACGCUAAGACGCGAAAGCGUGGGUAGCGAACGGGAUUAGAUACCCGGGUAGUC